Molecule: non-coding RNA, 132 nt
Organism: Podarcis lilfordi (Lilford's wall lizard)
Lineage: Eukaryota; Metazoa; Chordata; Lepidosauria; Squamata; Lacertidae
Source: the annotation of a GenBank genome assembly
GGAGUUGUUAAGAGAUCCCUGUUCCCCUCACAGACCUACAAUUCCCAGAGUUCCCUAGGAUGAGGAAUUGACUGUUCAACCACUCUGUGAAAUGUAGAUCUGUGAGGGGAAAGGGGGUCUCCUAACAGUUCU